This 7395-nucleotide long non-coding RNA is filed under the name Populus trichocarpa (black cottonwood). Its description in RNAcentral is "long non-coding RNA (PTRI_LNC000426)". The record is from RNAcentral. Lineage: Eukaryota; Viridiplantae; Streptophyta; Magnoliopsida; Malpighiales; Salicaceae.
AUUCGUUGGGGGUCUUAAAGAUAACAGACAAAGGAAUUCUUAUCCUUCUCGAUCGCAGUGGGAGCGUGAUUUGGUCUUCCAACACAGCAAGACCUGCGAGGAAUCCAACCGCUCAACUUUUGGAGUCAGGAAACCUUGUUGUGAAAGAGGAGGGCGAUAACAACCUGGAAAAUUCCUUGUGGCAGAGUUUUGAACAUCCGACUGAUACGAUAUUGCCAGGCAUGAAGCUAGGAAGGAGUAGAAUAACAGGAAUGGAAUGGUCCAUGACAUCAUGGAAAUCAGAAGAUGAUCCUUCCAGAGGUAACAUUACAUGUAAACUUGCUCCUUAUGGAUAUCCUGACAUUGUUGUGAUGGAAGGUUCGCAAGUGAAGUACCGAUCUGGACUCUGGGAUGGUCUGCGGUUCAGUGGCGUGCCUAGCACAAAACCAAAUCCUAUAUACAAAUAUGAAUUUGUUUUCAAUGAGAAGGAGAUAUUUUACAGAGAAAGUCUUGUUGAUAAGUCGAUGCAUUGGAGGCUCGUGACAAGACAGAAUGGUGAUAUCGCGAGCUUUACUUGGAUUGAGAAAACACAAAGUUGGUUGCUUUAUGAAACAGCAAAUACAGAUAAUUGUGAUCGAUAUGCACUAUGUGGUGCAAAUGGUUUCUGUGAUAUUCAAAGCUCUCCAAUGUGUGAUUGCUUGAAUGGAUUUGUACCAAAAUCCCCAAGAGAUUGGAACGUGACUGAUUGGGCAAAUGGUUGUGUUAGAAGGACUCCACUAAAUUGUUCUGGAGAUGGGUUCCGAAAGCUCGCUGGAGUGAAGAUGCCUGAGACAAAAUCAUCGUGGUUUAGCAAGACGAUGAAUCUUGAGGAGUGCAGGAACACGUGCUUGGAGAAAUGCAACUGUACAGCAUAUUCAAAUCUGGACAUCAGGAAUGGAGGAAGUGGGUGCUUGCUCUGGUUCGGCGACCUGGUUGACAUUAGAGUUUUUGCUGAAAACGAGCAAGAGAUUUAUAUACGAAUGGCCGAAUCAGAACCAGGUAUGAAUUUAUCUUCAGACAAGAAAACUCACUAUCUACAAAUCACUUUCUAGCAACUUGUGGCUGAGUCAUUCUUUAAAUAGUAACUGCCAAUUUAAAGCUAAAAUAGGAAAUCAAACAUACUAGAUAUAGAAGAAGAUUUUCCUUCACUUUAUUUUUCCUGCGCUUCUGCAGCGAUCUUUUCCGUUAUAGUAUAUUUCUCAAAAAUCUUCAUUUUCAAUCUCGUUGCAAACCGUGUUUCCUUGUAACUAUAUUACACAGGAUACAGAGACUUUACUAAGAACGAAUUUGGAAAUGAAUCAAAAUAUGCACUAUCCACAGGGCAGACUAAAUAGAAGUCAUUGCCAACAUGGACAAAUCGUAGCUAAUAGAUAACCAUGAGAAAGGGUGCUAUAGCUAAUAAAAAUUUAUAGCCGUACUAAAUUCUAUACCUCUCGACUUUCCUAUUGUUGUCCUUUAACUCCAGUUUUUCUCUUCCAUGUUGUAGAUAUUGGAGAUGGUGCAAGGAUAAAAAAAAAAUCCGAAGCCAAGAAAAGGAUCAUAAUAAGCACUGUGUUAUCUACUGGGAUUCUGUUCCUUGGCCUAGCCUUGGUCUUGUAUGCUUGGAUGAAGAAGCAUCAGAAAAACAGUACGUAAUUCACACCAUGAACAUUUAACAAGUACUCCAUCUCUCCAUUUCAGAUAAGAUGUUUUGUUUCUUUUGAAUUUUGAUUUUUAAAAAUGGAAGGCAUCGUCAAAAUGUUAAAAGAGUAUUUGGUAGCUUACUGUAACCAAAAAUAUUGUUCCCAUUCUUCUUUCUUAUUCAUGCCAGUUAUUCUGCCUGCGGGACAAAUGACAGAAGCUCUGGAAAGAAGUUCAAAUAACAUGCAGAGGAAGGAAGAUCUGGAACUUCCAUUGUUUGAUUUCAGUACCUUGGCUUGUGCAACAAACAAUUUCUCUACCGACAAUAAACUUGGAGAAGGGGGUUUCGGAACAGUUUAUAAGGUACUAAUCUAAAAACAAUCAGGCAACUAGAUUGCUUCAAUUUUUCAUGGCACAAACUGAUGGCAGCACUGAUUUUUAUAAUUUGUUGGUAUUAUUUUGCUUGGAACUUCUUCCACGGAAAGCCUUUAAACAUAAAACAAUGACUGCUCGGAAAGUGUUCAAACUUUAUAGUCACAACAGAUGCAAGUAGUGGGGAACAUCACACUGUGAUUCCCGACUUUCACAAGACAAAUGAUUGCUUAUGAUACUGAGUGAUUGUUUGCAGGGAACAUUAGCAGAUGGACGAGAAAUUGCAGUGAAGAGGCUCUCUAAGAUUUCAAGACAAGGUCUUGAUGAGUUAGAAAAUGAAGCCAAUUAUAUUAUGAAACUUCAGCACCGGAAUCUAGUGAAGCUUCUAGGAUGCUGCAUCGAAAGAGAUGAAAAGAUGUUGAUCUAUGAAUUCUUGCCUAACAAAAGCUUGGACUUUUUUAUUUUCGGUAUGAAUCUCUCAAAACCGCUACAAAUUCUUUCCAAUUAUAUUGGCAAUAUAGGGCAGUCAUCGCACCGUAACCAAAUCUCAGUGAACAAGGCCAUGAGCUGUGGCUUAAGAAAAAAAAAAGCACACUAGAUGAGUCGGGGAUACAAGUUACUGGGACAAAUGGGGAGCCAUAAGCACCAAAACAAUCAUCUGUUGUGUUUCCUUCAAAACUCUUGGGAAAAUGGCAAACCAAUUUGUGAUUUUAUUUGAACAUUCUUUGAUUUUUAAGUACGCAUUACCUUUCUUUCGUACCUUCUCAUAUCCAUUUAGGAAUCUGCUGCUAUAAUGAUUUGACUUGGGCAAAUAAUUGACAGAAAAAACACGAAGCUUUCUACUUGAUUGGCCUAAGCGCUACAACAUUAUCAAUGGUAUUGCUCGUGGACUCCUUUAUCUUCACCAGGAUUCAAGAUUAAGAGUAAUUCAUAGAGACCUGAAAGCCGGCAAUAUUUUAUUGGAUAAUGAGCUGAACCCGAAAAUUUCAGACUUUGGCCUGGCUAGAAGUUUUGGAGGAAAUAAAAUUGAAGCCAAUACUAAUAAAGUGGCUGGUACAUAGUAAGUGCCUCCGACGUAUGAUUUUUAUCUUCGUUUUUUCACAUUUACCUCUUAACAUUCCAUGAAUGAGUGCAGCGGCUACAUAUCCCCUGAGUACGCAAAUUAUGGACUCUACUCGGUAAAAUCAGACAUCUUCAGCUUCGGUGUAUUGGUGCUAGAGAUAGUGAGUGGGAACAAGAACAGAGGAUUCAGUCAUCCAGACCACCAUCUCAACCUUCUUGGGCAUGUAAGUUUCAAAACUAUUUUAUUUACUCUUCUUUUCAUUUUACUCUUGAGCACCUAUGUUAGGUUGCAGGUGCUUGGCAUGUUUUGGACACUGGGACACUUCAAAUGCUUUAAAUAUUUGUAAAAGUCUGUAAACUAAUCCAGUCUGAAAAUGAUAUGCAUGAUGGUUUUGGAUCAAAGAGUCAUGGGGAGAUGGAGUCACUGCAAUUAUUUUCUUAUUUCUAGAUAUCAAAUCUGUUAUAAUAACAUGGUCUUGUUUAUUAGGCUUGGAUACUGUUCAAAGAAAACAGGUCUUUGGAACUGGCUGCAGAUUCAAUAGCUAUAACAUGCAAUUUAUCAGAAGUGCUACGAUCAAUUCACGUGGGUUUAUUGUGCGUGCAAGAAAAUCCAGAAAUUAGGCCAUUGUGCGUGCAAGAAAAUCCAGAAAUGAGGCCAACCAUGUCAAAUGUAGUUUUGAUGCUAGGUAAUGAUGAUGUACUGCCUCAGCCUAAGCAACCAGGUUCUAACUCUGAAACCGUGUUCAGUUAACGAAUGGUCGGUUUCAGAGUUAGAACCAAGAUAGAUUGCUUUCAAUGUUGUCGGUGUUGAUAUUUUGUUUCUCUAUUGUUAUGCCGUGUACUCUUAUAUUCUUGAUAUUGUCCCCGGUGUCAAACGUAUCUACCUCAGAACUGCACUGUGUAAGGUCAUUAACGUUGGAAUUAAUUUUGAAGUCUUUGUUUUCUAUUUUUUUUUAAGGUAUUUUCUAGAUUUAUACAUGUAACUAUUAAAUAAAUAUUUAUUUUUUAAAUUUCUUGAAUUAUCUUAGACUAGCAUAAAUAUAUAUUUAGAGUAUUAUAAAUCUAAGUUCAAAUCCAUUGAAACUUCCUUUCUUAAGAGAGUAAUAUUUAUAUAAAUGAGAUUUAUUUUUUACCAUGUUUUCUAUAUUUCUAUUUUUACUUUUCUCCUUCAAAUAUUUCUAGCAAUACCAACACCGUUGAUCUGUUAUAUCCAAUAGAAUUCAUUAACCAAUUAGAAUUCAAAUGGCGUUCCUUCCAAGACACUUCCAUUUACUAUAACCAUCUCUGUCUUUUUUUAUUUUCCUUUACAUUUCUUUUUUUUAGGUUAAUGAAUGCCACUGAUAGAAAAAUAAGAGAAUUAUGAUAUAAUUUUUUAUUGCAAAUCAAAUAUCAGGUUUUCACAUUCUAAAAUUCAGAACAGAUUUUAGUUCAGCAACAUGUCUCUAGAAAUAAAAAAUAAAAAAUAAAAAAAAAAUAGGGGUGAGUGUCGUGUGGGGUUAGUGUACGACUAAAAUGAUAAACAAAUUUUCUAUGAAUUAUGUGUGUGUGAAGCACGACAUAGGUAUAGUGAUUUCCCACAUUUUUUAAGAGUUUUGUUAGUUAAUUUUAUCUAUAUAUUUUUUUUAAUUUAACGUGGAUAUCCGGACCAGCUUGCGCGUAUCUCGAUUAAUUUCACAGGCCCUGAAAUUAACGACCAUGUAAGCCUCCAGUGGCCAUCAUAUGAGCAACCACAAGGCUCGAACCUGAGACCACUGAAUAAGCAAAUCUUUUGGUCUCAAACUCUUAUCAUUAGACCAUCAUCUAAAUAGUUGGGUUUUUUUUUAAAAAAAAAAAAGAGGGUGAGUGUCUUGUGGGUUAGUGCUAUGUGUCGAGGACAAAUUUGACAGCGGAUAGGAGCCUUCCAUGUUUGAAUUUGGAAGCAUAUAGAAAAAAAAAAAAAAAAAAGUCUCCUAUGGCUACCAACUAAUGUUUUGCCUAAAGUAUGAUUCUUUGACCUUUUGUGGAAUGGAAUUAUUUGGAAUUUGAAAGAGGGCGUCCCCUUCAAUUCUAUGGGUCUAAGUCUUCGUAAUAUUGUUUUUUCCCUGUAGUUUAUAUGUUAAAAAAAAAUUAUUGAUGUAUGAUUUUUAAAAAAAAAUAAAUAAAUUAUUUGAUUUUUCUAAAUAAAGUUAAAAAAAUAAAGGUUGGCCUUUUUAAAAAGAAAUCCAAAAGGUCUCACGAACCAAUUCCUAGGCCCAAAGCAAGUGUGCUUGCCCAUUUUAAUGUUUUUUUUUUUUUUUUUGCUUGGAUGCAUGGACGGUGCGUCAUCUUUCCAACCAAUAUUUUUUCUUGCAAACGACAACAUACGACCUGUUGUCAGUAUCUCCAGUUUUGGGUUAUUAAAAAAUUGGGGUUGGGAUUUUUCAACUUUAAAAAUUUAUUUUCAACUUUAAAAAUUUAUUUUCAGUAUUUGUUUUACUUUAAAAUACUUAUAAAUUAUUUAAUGUCUUCAAACAACUCAAAAAUUGAUAUGUAAAUAAAAAAUUAACUUAAAACCCAAAACAUUUUCAAAAUUAGAUCUAAUUUCUAAAGUAAUGUUAAUGUGAAAUAACAUCAGAGUUAGAUUUUAUUUUUUUGAAUGAAAUCCAUAGAAUAUAAAAAUUGAUUUUUUUAGUGAACAAAAUCAAAUCAACCAUCAAUUUUUUUUCUUUACAAUAGAAUUCAACUAGUCUCUAUUUUAUCUUUCUAACCAAGAAUUAAAAAAAUAAAAAAAAUAAAGAUUUAUUCUAAAAUUAUUUUUAAAAAAAAUUAGAGAGACCGAAACAUUAUUUCAUUAUUUAAAAGUAGGACCAAAAUGAACUUUUUUCUAAAGUUUUGAACCGCCAUCCAUUUUUUUCUUCAUCUUAUUCACUUUGAUGCUCUAACUUUAAAUCCUUUUAUUUCUUAAUAAAUUAACCUAGAUCGACUAUCAAUUUGGUUUUAAAAGGACCCAAUGGUGUAGAAAAAAAAAAAGACUAAAAUAAAUCGUGGAGUUAUAUAUGUGUGAAUAGUGAUGUGGGCUACAGUAACUUACCCAUAACAUUUAGAGUUUUGAUAAUUUUGUCUUUUAAUGAAAUGAGUGAGUGCCGUGUGGGGUUAGUGGUAUUUGUCCAAGACAAAUUUGACAUGGCUAGCGAGGAGCCUUCUAUCUUUGAAUUUGGAAGUAAAUGGAAGAAAAAAUCCAGUCUCCUAAGGCUAAAUUAUGCUUGUUUGGACCUUUUGUGGAAUGGAAUUAUUUGGACUUUGAAGGAGGACAUCCCCUUCAAUUCUACGAGUCCAAGUCUUCCUAAAAUAUUUCACGCAUUUUUUUGUCAUUGAUUGCCUUAAGAACCGGCUGUCAUUAGUCGUGAGAAUUGCAUAUUUUAUAAUGCAAUCAACAACAAAUCAUUUAAUUAGGAAAAAAAAUAUAAUUCAUUUAAUUAGAAAAAAAAAUAUAAUUUAAGUUAAUUAGAUUAGCAUGUCAAACUUAUCAUUCAGGUUAUGAAACUGAAUAUCAAUAAAUAAAAAAUAAAUUACAAAACUUAAAUUCCAAUCAAUCCUCUUAUAAGUAUGAAAUUGAAAAAAAUUUGUCUUAAUCUCCCCCUUAAGAAUGUGAGGAGAGAGAAGUUGUCUGAAUAAACAUGUGAAUGCAAUCCUCUAUUCGUUAAGAAUGAGAAAAAUGGAGUCCUUGAAGAUGAUUGUUCACUCAUACAUGAAAAAUGGAACAUCGCUUUCGUGGUGAAGAAGUUGUGGCUAUAAAUAUGAAUAUUUUCACAUCUAAGCCAUUCAUUAACAGAGCUACAGAAAAAAACCAUAGAAGUAACGAUGGGUUACAUUCCCAUACUUCUUUUUUGCUUCUUUUCAUUGCUGAAUAGAGUGACGGCCACAGCCAUUGACAUCAUAAACACAGCUCAGUUCAUCAGGGAUGGCGAUACCAUAGUUUCAGCAGAUGGAACCUAUGAAUUAGGAUUUUUCAGCCCUGGAAAGUCAAAAAACAGAUACUUGGGCAUAUGGUAUGGGAAAAUACCAGUUCAAACUGUAGUUUGGGUUGCCAAUAGAGAAACUCCCCUUAAUGAUUCGUUGGGGGUCUUAAAGAUAACACACAAAGGAAUUCUUAUCCUUCUCGAUCGCAGUGGGAGCGUGAUUUGGUCUUCCAACACAGCAAGACCUGCGAGGAAUCCAACCGCUCAACUUUUGGAGUCAGGAAACCUUGUUGUGAAAGAGGAGGGCGAUAACAACCUGGAAAAUUCCUUGUGGCAGAGUUUUGAACAUCCGACUGAUACGAUAUUGCCAGGCAUGAAGCUAGGAAGGAGUAGAAUAACAGGAAUG